Long non-coding RNA from Crotalus tigris (Tiger rattlesnake), 4578 nucleotides. RefSeq lists it as uncharacterized. Lineage: Eukaryota; Metazoa; Chordata; Lepidosauria; Squamata; Viperidae. The record is from RefSeq and is a predicted model, not a curated record. The transcript has 3 exons.
AUCAUACUUGGCCAAUAAAGAAUUCUAUUCUAUUAACAAAUGUCUCGCUUAGCAACAUAAAUUUUGGGCUCAAUUGUAGUUGUUAAAUCAAAGACUACUUGUAAAGAAGCAGGCAACAUAAAUCCUGAAACAAGUAAGGCCUCUUAUGUUAGAAAGCAAGGAGCUAUUAAAAGCUUAAUUUUAUAAACAUGAUAGGAGUGAAAUAAAAUAAAUAGACCAUCUUGUGCAUACAUGUUUACUGUGUUUUAUUUUGCUUUAGAAAUUGCUUUAUUCUAUGGAGUGCUGUUUUUUAAGAAUCACACCACCACAAGGAUGAAGCAUUACAAAUCAAAUACCCCAGACCAAACAAUAUGGUACAUAUGGUGAAACUAUUAUGCUUUUUGCUAGAAUGAAUUAGCAGGGUUAAAUGUAAGGAGAAAGAAUGGUAAAAUUCACUAUUCUAGCAACUAUUAAAAGUUUACUACUUUAUUCACCCUAUUUACUUCAAAUACAUCAAUAUUAUAUUAAUAGUUUUCAUUAUUCAACAGAGAAAGUUUUGAGUCACAGCACUAAAUGGAAUAAGAAUGGAGUUUUCUACACAUACCUGAAGGAAGACUGCCUCAUUUAAAUUCAAAAUGUGAUUUAUGUCAGCAAUAUUUGACGUUUCAAAGCAAAAGUGCACAUUUUAAGCUAAAAGUUUUAGAAUGUAAUAAAAAAAGUAUUCUUGUCUUACACAAUAUGCAGAAACUAUUGUUGGUUCAGUGAUACUCACUCCUUGACCUAUCUCAAAGGUGCUUUUUCUAGAGGCACUUGGACUUUCUUGUUUUUCUUUGAAGACAUUUCACUUCUCAUCCAAGAAGCUUCUUCAGCUCCGUUUGGAUGGUGAGGAAAAGCAGUUUUCCAGUUGCCUCUUCAAAAAAGCUUCUUUGGGACAACCAUGACCUGGAUGACUGAGAAUCUCCACAGACACAUGUUGACUUAUUUCUGUAUGAUAGCAACAUAUCUUUACCAUAUGUAAACAGGUAAGGCAACAGACCAUGGAUGUAACCAGUGGUAGGAUUCAAAUAUGUGAACAUCCGGUUCUCUGUGUGUAUGCCACUUCAAGAAGUCCGUUCUGGGCCUGGGCAACAAAAAGUUAGCUACCGGUUCUGCCAGAGUGGUGCGAACCGGCUGAAUCCCACCACUGGAUGUAACCAUAAUUUCUGACUUAAAAAACAGAGAUACCAACAGUGGGAGCCAUAAUCUCCCCUACUACAACUGAAAAAUAAGGAAAGGCGCCAUGACAUCUAUCCUCCUAGCAGCCAAUAUCUUACUUGCAUACCUUCCCAUUUACAGUGGGGACUGAUAUGGUUGCAUGAGGAUAAUACCCAUUCCUCAGGCAACCUUGCUUGUCACCUGCUCUAUUAUGUUUUAAAUAUUUAUGAAUUUGCCAUCUAGUUUAUUCUACCAUUUUAUGCAAUUUUAGUAGUUGUUUUUUUUCUCUUUCUCUUUGCUUGAUUGCACUGAUAUUUAUCUUAUAACAGCCUGAGACUAAAGAAAGAAUAUAAACCAGUGUCUUCAUUGUAGCCAGUCUUCUUCUGCAAAGCUUUUAUUCAGGUUUAAGAGAUCUCAAUAAAGCUAAUCAAAACAUUAGUAUUUUUUUUUCUAUUUUGUGAAUUACAUUAAAAAGAACGAAGGCAAUGAGCCUACAUGUAAGAAUGACAAUAUAUAUUUAUUUGCUUGAUUUAUAUUCUAUCCUUCAACGGAGAUAAUGACAAUAAUAACAGCAACAAACGUCACGGAUAAGUCCUUUUCAAGUCCUAUGCAUUUAAAUGGUAUCUAAUGAAACUGGAUGAAAAAAUUCAAUUUGCUAUCUAAAAUAAUACAUAAUACAUGCACUGUAUAACAAGUGGCCCCUUUAAGUAAGCAUUUUGCAAAACCUGAUUAUCUGACAAAAAAUCUCUAUUUGGUUGAAAAUUAUAUGCCUGCCUCAACAAGUAUAACUUUGAGGCAGCUUUCCCAAUAUCUUUAGUUGUAGAAGUUUAUUUAUUUCAACUUCAAUGAGUUAUAACAGACAGAAAUGAAGGCAACAUUAGGAAACCAAAAAUAUGUUUAAAGCAGGAAGUUGACUGACAAAUCUCUAUCAAGAAAGUAUGUGGGCACUUCCACAUUGUUUUAUUUUUCCCACAUUUUCAAAAUAGGGGCACAUAAAGCUGAUAGCCCUUAUUUACUGACUGCCUUGUUUCCUCCAGGAACUCACGGUAGCAUAUUCCUCCCUACUUUUUCCACAACAACUCAAUGGGAUAGAUUGGGCUGAGUGAGAAUGACUAGUGCAGUUAUACUCUGAUCUUUGAAGGUAAAGAUGGAUUUAUAUCUGGCUCUCCCAUCAUAAUGUAACACUGAUGCAACCAUUAUGCUACACCAAGUCUCUAAUGUGAUCAUAAUUAAUUUUUUAGGAACACUGAUUUACCUAAUUUACUAAUUUAUCUCCAUAUUAUAAAAACAUCUGCCUUACAUUAUCACUGAAAAUGAUGCAAAGGCAAUGCUGCUUAACUGCAUAUUACAGCAUUAUGGCCUAUUACAUUUUCUGCUGCCAAAGGCUUACAAGUCUUUCAAUUAUCACCAGACCUUUCCUAUCUACUUGAACCUUUCAAUCUGGAGGAAAAUCAUUUUGACUCUUGAAGCCCAAUCAGCUCAGAGCCCUAUGCUGCACCUCUGCAGCAAAUAGUUCCAAGUAGCCUGGCAAAUAGCUAUUUGCUUUUUUAUUUUAUUUUAAAGCCAUUAGUGCAAUUAUCAAUUAGGCAGGAAUAAUAUGAACCUCAAAAUAGGCAUACACUUUUCAAGUAUAUGAAAAGAAAGCAAGUUCUACUAACUUUGUCCUUCUCUGGGCAGUGAUGAAAUGGCACCUACAGUACAAAAAGAAAACAAAUGAAUGGGCGGUUUGCAUUGGAUAGCAAGAGGAGACACUCUCCGGAAACAGGUCACAGCUUCAGUCUGAAGUAGCAAUCUUUGGACCACCAACCUUACUUUGAAGCAUGUGAGGCCUUUUUUUUCAGAUAUACUGUGGAACAUAGGUUCUUCCCUUGCUGUAUUAAAGGGCUGACUGUUGGCUCUGGCAACCUAGGAACUGUGCUCACAGAACAAUGUGAAAAAAGCUACAUGGUUGCCUUUCUCAUUUGUUGAUGUCUGGUACUAUAUCUUCAAGCUACCCCCUUGAAAAAGCCAGUGAAACAAGAUGAAGACUGGCCAACUAACAGCUGGUGGUUGGAUAGUUUACCUCACAAAACAAUCCUUGGACUCUUGCCUCUAGAUGCAUGCAUGAGAGCAGAAUAAUUAUAAAAACACUAGGAGCCCAGCCAGACCUAACAUUCUGUCAUUUCUUUUUCCCACUGCUGCUGUUGAAACAGGCCAGCCUUGAAACAGAAGCUAUAGGAAAGAUGAAUUAAAUGAACAACAAAGACUGUCCCAAGAGACCAGGGUAUUGCUGCUUCUCCUCUUCAAACAACAGCUCUUAAUAGAGGUGAACUUCCUUCAGGUGACACUUUCUUUCAGAAUAUAUCAUCAUUUGGGCUAAGAAUUAGUUUUGACAGGACUGGGCUUCAAAAAAAGAAUAAUCUUUCCCCUCCCCCAUCUCCAGCUUCUUUCUUUGGUAUUUUUGUACUUUCUCUAAGGGAUCAGCUUUCAAUCCAGACAUUUUCUUGCAAAAGGAUGAAAGGAAGGAAAGAAGAAGAGUGAACGAGUCAAAUAAAUUUUAUUUCUCCUUGGCCUUGAAUGAGAGACACAGGGUGCCAUCAAACAGAAGAAACUCCCAGUGUAUCGGAAGGCACUGCUUGCCUGACUAUUCCACUCUUUAUACCUUUCAAAUUUUCUGGGAGCAGAGCAAAGUAUUGUAUGGAGUUCCUUGGAAUGAAUUGUUUAGCAAGCCUCUGGAGAACACAAAGUUUUUAUUUAUUAUGAAUCAAUGUUUAAUAUCCCCAAUCCUAUGGUUUUUAAAGUUUAAGAAUAAAUAAUCUGCAGAGAAAAGCUUAUUUUCUUGACUAGCUGUCAGUCUUUGCUUAUGUCCUACAGAGUAUGAUUAUGUUAACUUGACAAUCUAUCAUCAUAAAUGCUAGAAAAGAAUUUAGAUCUUAAUUUCAUGGUAUCAGCCAAAGAAGACAAAGCAUGCUGUUCUAAAAUAAACUACUGGUUUAGCCAAUGAAAUGAGCCCAUACAAUAUGAUAUUUCUUUUUGCAUUUUAGGAAUUUAAUCAAAGGCUGACAUGAGAUUGAAAGAUAGGUCAAUAGCCUGUAACCUACCUUAGAAACAUUUUUAUUUGUAUAUUCCAACAAGCAAGAAAAAAGGGAUGGCGCUGUAUUUUUUUCAGCACAGUGAGAGAAAUAAAUGAUACAGACUUUAAUUAUCACAUUAUCACAUAAAUGAUACAGACUUUAAUUAUCACAUUUUAAAUUUUAAAAAUGUUAGGCCUAGUUUGAAGCAUCCCUGCAUACAGGGAGUACCAAGAAAAAAAAAAGCUUGUACAUUUUCUUUACAAACUUCUCAAGAGUUCAAAUUUCUUCUUCCUCUCACUUCUGUUUUUGCAACAGUGGCCAUAUUCUUCUUCCAAAGCAGAACUUUACAAAC